UAUGGCUCAGGAUGAACGCUGGCGGCAUGCCUAAGACAUGCAAGUCGAACGAGGGGACCCAUUGACUAUUAUCGAAAGUGGAGUGCUUGCACAAAGCUGGACUUAAUUCGAUUUGGAUUUUUCCCCUAGUGGCAGACGGGUGAGUAACACGUGGGUAAUCUACCUCAGAGAUUGGGAUAACGUUUAGAAAUGAACGCUAAUACCGAAUAAUUCAUGUUUAGAUAACUAGAUAUGCUAAAAGGAGCUUCGGCUUCACUUUGAGAUGAGCUUGCGGUGUAUUAGCUAGUUGGUAGGGUAAUGGCCUACCAAGGCUACGAUGCAUAUCCGAGCUGAGAGGCUGAUCGGACACACUGGGACUGAGACACGGCCCAGACUCCUACGGGAGACAGCAGUUAGGAAUAUUCGUCAAUGGAGGAAACUCUGAACGAGCAAUGCCGCGUGAGUGAUGAAGGCCCUAUGGGUCGUAAAACUCUGUUGUAAAGGAAGAACACUUACCAUAGGUAAUGAUGGUAGGCUGACGGUACUUUACCAGAAAGCCCCGGCUAACUACGUGCCAGCAGCCGCGGUAAUACGUAGGGGGCGAGCGUUAUCCGGAUUUAUUGGGCGUAAAGCGUGUGUAGGCGGUUUAUUAAGUCUAAGAUUAAAGUCCGAGGCUUAACCUCGGUUCGUUUUAGAAACUGGUAGACUUGAGUGUGGUAGAGGCAAGUGGAAUUUCUAGUGUAGCGGUUAAAUGCGUAGAUAUUAGAAGGAACACCAGUGGCGAAGGCGGCUUGCUGGGCCAUUACUGACGCUGAGACACGAAAGCGUGGGGAGCAAAUAGGAUUAGAUACCCUAGUAGUCCACGCCGUAAACGAUGAGUACUAAGUGUCGGGAAACCGGUGCUGAAGCUAACGUAUUAAGUACUCCGCCUGAGUAGUACGGUCGCAAGGCUGCAACUCAAAGGAAUUGACGGA
This 953-nucleotide ribosomal RNA is filed under the name uncultured Pseudomonadota bacterium. RNAcentral describes it as "bacterial SSU rRNA". It matches the Rfam family "Bacterial small subunit ribosomal RNA", at positions 18 to 917 of the family's 1533-position model. The record is from RNAcentral. Lineage: Bacteria; Pseudomonadati; Pseudomonadota.